RNAcentral lists this unclassified non-coding RNA (212 nucleotides) under Hevea brasiliensis (rubber tree). Lineage: Eukaryota; Viridiplantae; Streptophyta; Magnoliopsida; Malpighiales; Euphorbiaceae. The record is from RNAcentral.
UAUUCCGAGUCACCAAGUGAGUGACGCCAAGUUAUCUCAUUCCUUAUUAAAGGGAGACAGUUUUGAGGAUUCCAAGAGUGGAGAGCUGCUGCAUGGCCUUCAUCCUAUCUGUAACUAGUAUGAUGGUGUCUCUCCUGAUGCCUUACUUGGUAUCUUACUUGAGCUUCUGAAGAACCAUAACAAUUAUGAGGCUCUCUCUUCCACCUCCCCUU